This 65-nucleotide transfer RNA is filed under the name Muscidifurax raptorellus. RNAcentral describes it as "tRNA-Cys". The record is from RNAcentral. Lineage: Eukaryota; Metazoa; Arthropoda; Insecta; Hymenoptera; Pteromalidae.
AGUUUAAUAAUUUAUAAAAAAUAAUAAAUUGCAAAUUUAUAUAAAUCAAAUUAUGAUUUAAACUU